GACGAACGCUGGCGGCGCGCUUAACACAUGCAAGUCGAACGGAAAGGCCUGCUUUCCCUUGUGGAUUGCGGGUACUCGAGUGGCGAACGGGUGAGUAACACGUGAGUGAUCUGCCCCCAACUUGGGUAUAAGCCUGGGAAACUGGGUCUAAUUCCCGAUAGGACUGCAGGGUGGUGCCGGUGGUGGAAAACGAUGUUCUAGUGGUUGGGGAUGAGCUCGCGGCCUAUCAGCUUGUUGGUGGGGGAAUGGCCGACCAAGGCGGCGACGGGAAGCCGGCCUGGGAGGGUGGACGGGCACGUGGGGACUGAGAUACGGCCCCGACUCCUACGGGAGGCAGCAGUGGGGAGUAUGACGCGAUGGACGGAAGCCUGAUGCAGCGACGCCGCGUGGGGGAUGACGGCCUUCGGGUUGUAAACUCCUUUCGGCCGCGAGGAAGCCACCUGGUUGGAAGGGUGGUGACGGUAGUGGUAGAAGAAGCACCGGCUAACUACGUG
Molecule: ribosomal RNA, 494 nt
Filed under: uncultured bacterium
Lineage: Bacteria
Description: partial 16S ribosomal RNA
Rfam family: Bacterial small subunit ribosomal RNA
Source: RNAcentral